RNAcentral lists this ribosomal RNA (253 nucleotides) under uncultured bacterium. RNAcentral's name for it is "partial 16S ribosomal RNA". It matches the Rfam family "Bacterial small subunit ribosomal RNA", at positions 524 to 776 of the family's 1533-position model. The record is from RNAcentral.
UACGGAGGGUGCAAGCGUUAAUCGGAAUUACUGGGCGUAAAGCGUGCGCAGGCGGUUUGUUAAGUCCGUUGUGAAAGCCCCGAGCUCAACUUGGGAAUUGCAGUGGAUACUGGCAGGCUGGAGUACGAUAGAGGAAGGUGGAAUUCCCGGUGUAGCAGUGAAAUGCGUAGAUAUCGGGAGGAACACCAGUGGCGAAGGCGGCCUUCUGGACCAGUACUGACGCUCAUGCACGAAAGCGUGGGGAGCAAACAGG